UAGGGAAUCUUCGGCAAUGGACGAAAGUCUGACCGAGCAACGCCGCGUGAGUGAAGAAGGUUUUCGGAUCGUAAAACUCUGUUGUUAGAGAAGAACAAGGACGUUAGUAACUGAACGUCCCCUGACGGUAUCUAACCAGAAAGCCACGGCUAACUACGUGCCAGCAGCCGCGGUAAUACGUAGGUGGCAAGCGUUGUCCGGAUUUAUUGGGCGUAAAGCGAGCGCAGGCGGUUUCUUAAGUCUGAUGUGAAAGCCCCCGGCUCAACCGGGGAGGGUCCUUGGAAACUCAGAGACUUGAGUGCAGAAGAGGGGAGUGGAAUUCCAUGUGUAGCGGUGAAAUGCGUAGAUAUAUGGAGGAACACCAGUGGAGAAUGCGACUCUCUGGUCUGUAAAUGACGCUGAGGCUCGAAAGCGUGGGGAGCAAACCGG
This 429-nucleotide ribosomal RNA is filed under the name Gemmatimonadota bacterium. Its description in RNAcentral is "Gemmatimonadetes bacterium partial 16S ribosomal RNA". It matches the Rfam family "Bacterial small subunit ribosomal RNA", at positions 355 to 776 of the family's 1533-position model. The record is from RNAcentral. Lineage: Bacteria; Pseudomonadati; Gemmatimonadota.